Molecule: long non-coding RNA, 2168 nt
Organism: Lemur catta (Ring-tailed lemur)
Lineage: Eukaryota; Metazoa; Chordata; Mammalia; Primates; Lemuridae
Exons: 3
Source: RefSeq, a predicted model, not a curated record
AGGAGGAAGGAGGAGCAGGAGCAAUGGGAAGGGAGAGGUCCCAAAGAGGCCAGUGAAGUUCCAAAGUAGUCUCGGCAAAAUCAUGCCAGCAAGAAGGAAUUGGACAGAGCUGGCCAAGCAUAUGGUCAUCGGGUUCAAGAAGGAAGGUUCCAUUGGCUGAGAAGUCCCCAUGGGGGCAUCAGGGUCAAACAGAACAGAGAGCCCUUUUAAAAAUCACUAGGCUCUGAAUUUCUGCUUCUAUUUAGGCCACCUUUUGAUCUCAUGAAGCUCUUUUCACAAAAUCCUUUCAAAUAUAUUUGAUUAUUGGGUUUCAGCUGGGACACUAUUGACAGUAUCUGAACUCCUUUUUAAAAUUUAAAAUUUUUCUUUUAAACCAAAGGUAUUUAUCAAGUGACCCCAAACCAAAACCAAUAAGCCUUCUUAUCACAUGACCAUGAAAGCAAGAAGCAUUGCCAAAGAGGGUGCAAAAGAUGUAGACCUCCCAUGAUCCGGAAGCGCUUCUAGAGAUAGUCAAAAGAAAGAAAGAUUUAGAUACUACCAGCAGCACACCCCUCCUGUUCCAAGGGCGAGCUGGCAACAGUCAGUAGGAUGCUAGUUACAAACGGGGUACAACCCUCAUUUCUGUCAUAUCUAUAGGGCCCCCAACCUAAUGGUUGGCCACCUGUACAUGCAAGAACCAACAACUUGCACACCUCAACAGGUGGAAGCCAAGCCAAGCUCUCUGGACACAAAAUGAGACAAACAGGAAAGCAAUAUUGAAAGGAUCGAUGACCAGUGGGUAUCUCAAAACCAAACUGAACCAGCCACAAUCCAAAGAAUUAAUUUUUACAGGUGUUUUUCACCUGCUAAUCUGAAUUAAGAAACGAAGGGACAAGGAGAAGUUUUUACCUUCCUCUCUUGACUGGGCACUGGGAGAGCUGGCUUUGGUGAGAAUUCUUACCUUUUGCUGGCUUUUGUCAGUUUUCCCAGGACCCCAUCUGCAGGCUCCAGAGGGAGUGGCAUGUCCCAGCUGUUCCUACAUGGUUGCCAGAAACUGUAGGGGACGAAAAAUAUCUUUUCCUUCUACCCAUCUUAGGUUCAUUGGCUGGAGCCUCUGUAGCAAAAGACAGAUUAACAAGAGAAAAGCAUACGAAUUUAUUUAACGUAAAUUUUAUGCGACACAGGAGCCUUCAUAAGGAAAUGAAGACCUGAAGAAAGUUAAACCUGAGUGUAUUUAUAAUAGGUUUGAGGAGGAAUGCAGAGUCAUGAAAAAAUAUGAUAGGGCCAAAAAAAAAAAUAAGAGUAUGAGUAAUAGACUGGGAGAUUGUUUGGGUUCCUCUCUGUGUCCCUGUGUCUCUGGAGAUAAGGACGCUCCUUUCCUCUAGGUAUAAGAAGGGCUCUUCUCACAUGAGGGUGUUAUGACCUGCUUCUGGGGACAAGGGUGACGGAAGGUCACAGAGAUUGCUCUGCACAGGCUGCUUCACAGAUUCCUUCAGACUCUAGAUCCCUUCCAUCCGUGUGCUGCCCCAGAAAGAAGAGGGACUCCUCCCUGGGCUCCUGGCUCCUGGCUCCAGGGUUUCCUCCACACAGCAGGUCACUCACUCUGGAGGAAGCCAGUGGCUCUGUCACAAGGACACUCAAGCAGCCAUAUGGAGAGGUUGACUUGGCAAGGAACUGAGUGAGACCUCGUGCCAACAGCCAGCACCAUCUUACCAGGGGGGUGAGUGAGUCAUCUCGGAAGCGGAUCCUCCCGCCCCAGGCAAGCCUUCAGAUGACUACAGCCAACCAGGUAACGUCUUGACUGCAGCCUCAUGAGAGACCCUGAACCACAAAUACCCAGCUAAGCCUCUCUCAGAUUCCCAGUCCACAGAAACUGUGGGAUAGGUGUUUGUUGUUUUAAGUUACUAAACUUUGGGGUAAUUUGCUAUGCAGCAAUAGAGCAAUAGAGAGUGAAUACAAAUACACCACGCAUACACAUACACAUACAUGCACAACACCCAUGUACUCACAUACAGUUGCCCCUCAGUAUCCAUGGGAAAUUGGUUCCAGGACCCCCAGGGAUACCAAAAUCCGAGAAUGCUCAGGUCCCUUAUGUAAAAUGACGUGGUGUUUGCAUAUAACUACACACAUCCUGCCAUAUACUUUAAACCAUCUCUAGAGUACUUAUAAUAAAUACCUAAUACAAUGUA